CCUACGGGAGGCAGCAGUGGGGAAUUUUGGACAAUGGGGGCAACCCUGAUCCAGCAAUGCCGCGUGAGUGAAGAAGGCCUUCGGGUUGUAAAGCUCUUUUGUCAGGGAAGAAACGGCAGUUUCUAAUACAAGCUGCUAAUGACGGUACCUGAAGAAUAAGCACCGGCUAACUACGUGCCAGCAGCCGCGGUAAUACGUAGGGUGCAAGCGUUAAUCGGAAUUACUGGGCGUAAAGCGUGCGCAGGCGGUUAUAUAAGUCAGAUGUGAAAUCCCCGGGCUCAACCUGGGAACUGCAUUUGAGACUGUAUGGCUAGAGUGUGUCAGAGGGGGGUUAGAAUUCCACGUGUAGCAGUGAAAUGCGUAGAUAUGUGGAGGAAUACCGAUGGCGAAGGCAGCCCCCGUGGGAUAACACUGACGCUCAUGCACGAAAGCGUGGGGAGCAAACAGGUAUUAGAUACCCUGGUAGUCCACGCCCUAAACGAUGUCUACUAGUUGUCGGGUCUUAAUUGACUUGGUAACGCAGCUAACGCGUGAAGUAGACCGCGUGGGGAGUACGGUCGCAAGAUUAAACCGUCGAAAGGUAUUGACGGCUGAGACGNGACGACGACGACGACGAGGGAGGAGG
RNAcentral lists this ribosomal RNA (625 nucleotides) under uncultured bacterium. RNAcentral describes it as "bacterial SSU rRNA". It matches the Rfam family "Bacterial small subunit ribosomal RNA", at positions 338 to 951 of the family's 1533-position model. The record is from RNAcentral.